This 77-nucleotide transfer RNA is filed under the name Escherichia coli BCE008_MS-13. RNAcentral's name for it is "tRNA-Ser". It matches the Rfam family "tRNA". Rfam says of the family: Transfer RNA (tRNA) molecules are approximately 80 nucleotides in length. Lineage: Bacteria; Pseudomonadati; Pseudomonadota; Gammaproteobacteria; Enterobacterales; Enterobacteriaceae. The record is from RNAcentral.
AGGCUUGUAGCUCAGGUGGUUAGAGCGCACCCCUGCUAAGGGUGAGGUCGGUGGUUCAAGUCCACUCAGGCCUACCA